GCCAAGUUGGACGGUCCA
This 18-nucleotide non-coding RNA is filed under the name Arabidopsis thaliana (thale cress). Lineage: Eukaryota; Viridiplantae; Streptophyta; Magnoliopsida; Brassicales; Brassicaceae. The record is from RNAcentral.